UGUCCAUUCAUCUGACCCACUGCACUGGGCCUGGGGCUGCAGGCGGCAGAGGCAUUCCACUAGCCCACAGUGACACUGCCUGGUGGGACAGUUCUCUGCAGC
This is a non-coding RNA of Procavia capensis (Cape rock hyrax), 102 nucleotides long. Lineage: Eukaryota; Metazoa; Chordata; Mammalia; Hyracoidea; Procaviidae. The record is from Rfam.